AGACUAUCAAGAGUGUGGUGAGAGUUUUGGCUCGAUGACCCACCCGCAACCUGUCGAUUCGAUAAGGUGCGACAUCCAACCCGCAAGGGAAAGAUAAUUU
RNAcentral lists this non-coding RNA (100 nucleotides) under Candidatus Parcubacteria bacterium. RNAcentral's name for it is "Parcubacteria Uhrbacteria SAM-I sequence". It matches the Rfam family "SAM riboswitch aptamer (S box leader)". Rfam says of the family: The SAM riboswitch is found upstream of a number of genes which code for proteins involved in methionine or cysteine biosynthesis in Gram-positive bacteria. The SAM riboswitch acts at the level of transcription termination control. The record is from RNAcentral. Lineage: Bacteria; Candidatus Parcubacteria.